CAGCAGCCGCGGGAAUACGAAGGGUGCAAGCGUUAAUCGGAAUUACUGGGCGUAAAGCGUGCGCAGGCGGUUUGUUAAGACAGAUGUGAAAUCCCCGGGCUCAACCUGGGAACUGCAUUUGUGACUGGCAAGCUAGAGUGUGGCAGAGGGGGGUGGAAUUCCGCGUGUAGCAGUGAAAUGCGUAGAUAUGCGGAGGAACACCGAUGGCGAAGGCAGCCCCCUGGGCCAACACUGACGCUCAUGCACGAAAGCGUGGGGAGCAAACAGGAUUAGAGACCCCUGUAGUCCCUGUCUCUUAUAA
RNAcentral lists this ribosomal RNA (301 nucleotides) under uncultured bacterium. RNAcentral describes it as "partial 16S ribosomal RNA". It matches the Rfam family "Bacterial small subunit ribosomal RNA", at positions 509 to 809 of the family's 1533-position model. The record is from RNAcentral.